Molecule: ribosomal RNA, 253 nt
Filed under: uncultured bacterium
Lineage: Bacteria
Description: partial 16S ribosomal RNA
Rfam family: Bacterial small subunit ribosomal RNA
Source: RNAcentral
UACGUAGGUGGCAAGCGUUGUCCGGAUUUACUGGGCGUAAAGAGCGCGCAGGCGGUCGGAUAAGUCGAAUGUGAAAGCCCCCGGCUCAACUGGGGAGGGUCAUUCGAUACUGUUCGACUCGAAGGCAGGAGAGGGAAGUGGAAUUCCCGGUGUAGUGGUGAAAUGCGUAGAUAUCGGGAGGAACACCAGUGGCGAAGGCGGGUCUCUGGGCCGAUACUGACGCUGAGGAGCGAAAGCGUGGGGAGCGAACAGG